Molecule: long non-coding RNA, 2010 nt
Filed under: Citrus x clementina
Lineage: Eukaryota; Viridiplantae; Streptophyta; Magnoliopsida; Sapindales; Rutaceae
Description: Citrus clementina (C. clementina) long non-coding RNA (CCLE_LNC000963)
Source: RNAcentral
UGUAAACAUUUUAUUGAGCAAUACAAAUGCUUUCCAGUUUCUGAAUCCAGCAACAGAUUUGAGUGUGAGGCUGACUUAGGGCUAAGAGAGUGCGAAUUUCGCGUCUAAGGCUGCACGACACAACGUGGGACAAAACCGGGUCGUGACACUAGUAAGCAUUUCUUUGAUCCAAUAGGAUCUGAAAAUCCUAAAAUUAUAAUUUUACUCUUUAUGCCUUUCCUAAUGUUGUCAGCUAUUUUGAGUUGGAAAAUACUAUCUAUUUUGCUAUUUGAUUUGUCAUUAAUCAUGAAAUUAUCAAAAUACACUAGAAAUACAUAAAAUACUCAAAUUAUAACAAAACAUACAUAAUUUAAAGGGCUUGAACACAUAACAAUAGAAAUGUUAGUGAGACUUGGAGCACAAAAUAAUAAUUUUACCCUUUAUAAAUAUGUAUUCUCCACUACUUAACAACAUUAGAAAAAGAAUACUUGAAGAGCAUUGUUGAUAUGGUUUUGUCCAAAGACUUUCAGGUAUGUUUAAAGUUCUAAAAGUUGGAUAAAAUUAUUGAGUACUUGUAAACCAUUUUGAUCAAUAUCCGCUUUUUGCAAGAACCAUGGAGACUUAUCUAGUGUGUAGAUAUUUUCUAUGUACUUAAUGUGGGUAGGUGGUAGGUGGUAGUUGUGCAAUAACUUACUCCUUUGUACUCUAUAUAUAGGAAAGGGUCUCAUUUGGCCAAGACAUCACAAGCAAUAUACAAGUCCAGCGCACAUAGCCUUGUAAACAUUUUAUUGAGCAAUACAAAUGCGUUCCAGUUUCUGAAUCCAGCAACAGAUUUGAGUGUGAGGCUGACUUAGGGCUAAGAGAGUGCGAAUUUGGCGUCUAAGGCUGCACGACACAACGUGGGACAAAACCGGGCCGUGACACUAGUAAGCAUUUCUUUGAUCCAAUAGGAUCUGAAAAUCCUAAAAUUAUAAUUUUACUCUUUAUGCCUUUCCUAAUGUUGUCAGCUAUUUUGAGUUGGAAAAUACUAUCUAUUUUGCUAUUUGAUUUGUCAUUAAUCAUGAAAUUAUCAAAAUACACUAGAAAUACAUAAAAUACUCAAAUUAUAACAAAACAUACAUAAUUUAAAGGACUUGAACACGUAACAAUAGAAAUGUUAGUGAGACUUGGAGCACAAAAUAAUAAUUUUACCCUUUAUAAAUAUGUAUUCUCCACUACUUAACAACAUUAGAAAAAGAAUACUUGAAGAGCAUUGUUGAUAUGGUUUUGUCCAAAGACUUUCAGGUAUGUUUAAAGUUCUAAAAGUUGGAUAAAAUUAUUGAGUACUUGUAAACCAUUUUGAUCAAUAUCCGCUUUUUGCAAGAACCAUGGAGACUUAUCUAGUGUGUAGAUAUUUUCUAUGUACUUAAUGUGGGUAGGUGGUAGGUGGUAGUUGUGCAAUAACUUACUCCUUUGUACUCUAUAUAUAGGAAAGGGUCUCAUUUGGCCAAGACAUCACAAGCAAUAUACAAGUCCAGCGCACAUAGCCUUGUAAACAUUUUAUUGAGCAAUACAAAUGCUUUCCAGUUUCUGAAUCCAACAACAGAUUUGAGUGUGAGGCUGACUUAGGGCUAAGAGAGUGCGAAUUUCACGUCUAAGGCUGCACGAUACAACGUGGGACAAAACCGGGUCGUGACACUAGUAAGCAUUUCUUUGAUCCAAUAGGAUCUGAAAAUCCUAAAAUUAUAAUUUUACUCUUUAUGCCUUUCCUAAUGUUGUCAGCUAUUUUGAGUUGGAAAAUACUAUCUAUUUUGCUAUUUGAUUUGUCAUUAAUCAUGAAAUUAUCAAAAUACACUAGAAAUACAUAAAAUACUCAAAUUAUAACAAAACAUACAUAAUUUAAAGGACUUGAACACAUAACAAUAGAAAUGUUAGUGAGACUUGGAGCACAAAAUUAUAAUUUUACCCUUUAUAAAUAUGUAUUCUCCACUACUUAACAACAUUAGAAAAAGAAUACUUGAAGAGCAUUGUUGAUAUGGUUUUGUCCAAAGA